UACCUGCCCGGUGAUAUUUUAAACGGCUGCAGUACUCUGACUGUGCAAAGGUAGCAUAAUCAUUAGCCUAUUAAUUGUAGGCUGGAAUCAAUGGUUUAAUGAUAGAAUGACUGUCUCUCUUUUUUAUUUUGAAUUUGAAAUCUAAGGGAAGGUGCUUAGAUAGUUUAGUGGGACGAGAAGACCCUAUAGAGCUUUAAAAAAUUUUUAACGAUUGAUUUGAAAGUUUUUUUAGAUUGGGGCAAUUGUACUUAUGAUAAAACAAGAUGUUAAAGGGAUGAUUUAAAUCUUUGAGAGACCUAAAAUAUUUUGGGAAUUAGAAAAAGUUACCUUAGGGAUAACAGCGUAAUUUCUUUUGAGAGUCCUUAUUGACAAAGAAGUUUGCGACCUCGAUGUUGGAUUAAGGUAACCUGAAGGUGUAGCAGUUUUCAAAGGUUGGUUUGUUCAACCAUUAAAACCU
RNAcentral lists this ribosomal RNA (457 nucleotides) under Astrogymnotes irimurai. RNAcentral describes it as "partial 16S ribosomal RNA". It matches the Rfam family "Bacterial large subunit ribosomal RNA", at positions 1856 to 2596 of the family's 2925-position model. Lineage: Eukaryota; Metazoa; Echinodermata; Ophiuroidea; Amphilepidida; Ophiomyxidae. The record is from RNAcentral.